This 60-nucleotide small RNA is filed under the name Oryza sativa Japonica Group (Japanese rice). RNAcentral's name for it is "sRNA Os12g0267950". Lineage: Eukaryota; Viridiplantae; Streptophyta; Magnoliopsida; Poales; Poaceae. The record is from RNAcentral.
UGGCAUAUCUCAAAUUUUGCAAAAUUAUAAUGGCAUGGUUCCAAUUUUCCUUUUUUUUUU